CUCAGGUCAUGAUCUCAGGGCCAUGAGAUUGAGCACUCACUGAGCACGGAGUCAGCUUGGGACUCUCUCACUCUCCCUCUGCUCCUCCUGCUUGUGCUCUCUCUUUUUCAAAUAAAUAAAAA
Long non-coding RNA from Lutra lutra (Eurasian river otter), 122 nucleotides. RefSeq lists it as uncharacterized. Lineage: Eukaryota; Metazoa; Chordata; Mammalia; Carnivora; Mustelidae. The record is from RefSeq and is a predicted model, not a curated record. The transcript is spliced from 3 exons.